GGCUAACUCCGUGCCAGCAGCCGCGGUAAUACGGAGGGGGUUAGCGUUGUUCGGAAUUACUGGGCGUAAAGCGCACGUAGGCGGAUCAGAAAGUUGGGGGUGAAAUCCCGGGGCUCAACCCCGGAACUGCCUCCAAAACUCCUGGUCUUGAGUUCGAGAGAGGUGAGUGGAAUUCCGAGUGUAGAGGUGAAAUUCGUAGAUAUUCGGAGGAACACCAGUGGCGAAGGCGGCUCACUGGCUCGAUACUGACGCUGAGGUGCGAAAGUGUGGGGAGCAAACAGGAUUAGAUACCCUGGUAGUCCACACCGUAAACGAUGAAUGCCAGUCGUCGGGUAGCAUGCUAUUCGGUGACACACCUAACGGAUUAAGCAUUCCGCCUGGGGAGUACGGUCGCAAGAUUAAAACUCAAAGGAAUUGACGGGGACCCGCACAAGCGGUGGAUGAUGUGGAUUAAUUCGAUGCAACGCGAAAAACCUUACCUACCCUUGACAUGUC
This 495-nucleotide ribosomal RNA is filed under the name Gephyrocapsa oceanica. RNAcentral describes it as "partial Bacterial small subunit ribosomal RNA". It matches the Rfam family "Bacterial small subunit ribosomal RNA", at positions 495 to 990 of the family's 1533-position model. The record is from RNAcentral. Lineage: Eukaryota; Haptophyta; Isochrysidales; Noelaerhabdaceae.